ACGAACGCUGGCGGCAGGCCUAACACAUGCAAGUCGAGCGCUACCUUCGGGUGGAGCGGCGGACGGGUUAGUAACGCGUGGGAAUAUACCCAGUUCUAAGGAAUAGCCACUGGAAACGGUGAGUAAUACCUUAUACGCCCUUCGGGGGAAAGGUCAGCCGCUAAAAGAGGGGCCCGCGUCUGAUUAGCUUGUUGGUAAGGUAAUGGCUUACCAAGGCUACGAUCAGUAGCUGGUCUGAGAGGAUGAUCAGCCACACUGGGACUGAGACACGGCCCAAACUCCUACGGGAGGCAGCAGUGGGGAAUCUUGC
This 310-nucleotide ribosomal RNA is filed under the name uncultured Rhodobacterales bacterium. RNAcentral's name for it is "SSU rRNA". It matches the Rfam family "Bacterial small subunit ribosomal RNA", at positions 29 to 367 of the family's 1533-position model. The record is from RNAcentral. Lineage: Bacteria; Pseudomonadati; Pseudomonadota; Alphaproteobacteria; Rhodobacterales.